Molecule: ribosomal RNA, 398 nt
Filed under: uncultured bacterium
Lineage: Bacteria
Description: bacterial SSU rRNA
Rfam family: Bacterial small subunit ribosomal RNA
Source: RNAcentral
AUUGAACGCUGGCGGCAUGCCUUACACAUGCAAGUCGAACGGCAGCACGGGGCAACCUGGUGGCGAGUGGCGAACGGGUGAGUAAUGCAUCGGAACGUGCCAUUGAGUGGGGGAUAACGUAGCGAAAGUUGCGCUAAUACCGCAUAUUCUGUGAGCAGGAAAGCAGGGGACCGCAAGGCCUUGCGCUCUUUGAGCGGCCGAUGUCAGAUUAGCUAGUUGGUGAGGUAACGGCUUACCAAGGCGACGAUCUGUAGCGGGUCUGAGAGGAUGAUCCGCCACACUGGAACUGAGACACGGUCCAGACUCCUACGGGAGGCAGCAGUGGGAAUUUGGACAAUGGGCGCAAGCCUGAUCCAGCCAUGCCGCGUGAGUGAAGAAGGCCUUCGGGUUGUUAAGGA